Molecule: ribosomal RNA, 1322 nt
Filed under: metagenome
Description: bacterial LSU rRNA
Rfam family: Bacterial large subunit ribosomal RNA
Source: RNAcentral
CCAGCCAUCAUUUAAAGAAAGCGUAAUAGCUCACUGAUCGAGUCGUCCUGCGCGGAAGAUGUAACGGGGCUAAGCCAGUUACCGAAGCUGCGGAUUUGCAAUUUAUUGCAAGUGGUAGGAGAGCGUUCUGUAAGCCCGUGAAGGUGCGUUGUAAAGCGUGCUGGAGGUAUCAGAAGUGCGAAUGCUGACAUGAGUAGCGUUAAAGGGGGUGAAAAGCCCCCUCGCCGUAAGCGCAAGGUUUUCUACGCAACGUUCAUCGGCGUAGAGUGAGUCGGCCCCUAAGGCGAGGCAGAGAUGCGUAGCUGAUGGGAAACAGGUCAAUAUUCCUGUACCGAUGUGUAGUGCGAUGUGGGGACGGAUCUUAAUAGGUCAUCCAGGUGUUGGAUAUCCUGGUUUAGUUGGAUGUAGGCGAUGGGUAGGCAAAUCCGCCCGUCAUAUACCGAGGCCAACGAUCGAGCAAGCUUGCUUGCGAAGUGACUGAACGAGGUUCCAGGAAAAGCCACUAAGCUUCAGCUGCACACGACCGUACCGCAAACCGACACUGGUGCGCGAGAUGAGUAUUCUAAGGCGCUUGAGAGAACUCAGGAGAAGGAACUCGGCAAAUUGACACCGUAACUUCGGAAGAAGGUGUGCCCUAUUAGUGUGAAGUGAACAACGGAGCAUGAAUGGGUUGCAAAAAAUCGGUGGCUGCGACUGUUUAUUAAAAACACAGCACUCUGCAAACACGAAAGUGGACGUAUAGGGUGUGACGCCUGCCCGGUGCUGGAAGAUUAAAUGAUGGGGUGCAAGCUCUUGAUUGAAGUCCCAGUAAACGGCGGCCGUAACUAUAACGGUCCUAAGGUAGCGAAAUUCCUUGUCGGGUAAGUUCCGACCUGCACGAAUGGCGUAACGAUGGCCACACUGUCUCCUCCUGAGACUCAGCGAAGUUGAAAUGUUUGUGAUGAUGCAAUCUCCCCGCGGAAAGACGGAAAGACCCCAUGAACCUUUACUGUAGCUUUGUAUUGGACUUUGAACAGAUCUGUGUAGGAUAGGUGGGAGGCUUUGAAGCGGUGCCGCUAGGUAUCGUGGAGCCAACGUUGAAAUACCACCCUGGUGUGUUUGAGGUUCUAACCUAGGUCCAUUAUCUGGAUCGGGGACAGUGCAUGGUAGGCAGUUUGACUGGGGCGGUCUCCUCCCAAAGCGUAACGGAGGAGUUCGAAGGUACGCUAGUUACGGUCGGACAUCGUGACGAUAGUGCAAUGGCAUAAGCGUGCUUAACUGCGAGACUGACAAGUCGAGCAGAUGCGAAAGCAGGACAUAGUGAUCCGGUGGUUCUGUAUGGA